Molecule: long non-coding RNA, 7489 nt
Filed under: Coffea arabica (coffee)
Lineage: Eukaryota; Viridiplantae; Streptophyta; Magnoliopsida; Gentianales; Rubiaceae
Description: long non-coding RNA (CARA_LNC004747)
Source: RNAcentral
AGAGAAAUGUUCACAAAUCAACAAAUAAACAAUUUGAAAAUAGCAGAAUUAAAAUGCAGAUACAAGAAAAAGGAGUAUAAUACUCAGCCUUAAGAUGGUUGGCACCAUAUCACAAUCACAUAGAAUCUAUGACAGAAGAAAAUGGAGAAGUACAUGAACUAAUCCAAAACAAGAAGAAAAUGUGCUCAGACUAAGAAUUUCAAGCUCAUCAAAGUAAACCAGAAAAUGACAGAUUUGUACUUGAUUUGAAGCCAUUUCAGUAACAACCAAAAUACUCCAUAGACAAUCGUUUAUUUUAACCAUCCCAUAGUCAUUGUGAUCAAACUAACCAACCAUCCCAUAGUCAUGGUGAUUAAAAUGCAUAUUCCAUUUCCUAUGUUUUGUUUCCAAGAAUGAAUAGUUGAGUCAUAAAGCAAUCAUGAAGAUGGUUACAAGUUUAGUUCAACUUGAGAUUCCUUCUCUGCCAGCAAAUUCUUAAUGGAGGUCUCCUACACGAAAGAACAUUAUGAAGAAUAUCUAUUUGGCUCUGAUACCCUUGUUUUAUAUAUGGUGAAAAUACAAGCACAAUAUUUAACAAUCAGUAUUGCUGAAAAGUCACAAGAUCAUAAAACAGAAACUCCAAGAGUAAACCUUUUGUUAGCUGUUCAUGUGAGGGAGAAAUUAGCAAUUUUACUCCUUUCCUAAUUAGGACCAAGGAUUGAAAGGGACUUUUUACCAAUUAUUAACCAGAUGAAAUCUACUUCAACUUGCCAGAAUUUAAUUGAUUAAUGGAUUUCAAAAAAAAUAACAAUUGAAGGUGGUAAAUUGAGAAAUUCAAAGUUCAGGGUGCAAAGUGCAAUUUGGAUAGUUGACGGAUGCAAAGUGCAAUAAACUUUAAAAUGUAUGUUCUGUAGUAGUCUGUUAACUGUGAAACUUCAUUAUUAUCCAUAUCACCAAUGCUACUAAACGUUAAUUGCAAUAAUGCGUACUAUACAUGUUUAGAUUACCUUCACAAAGCUUGUUAGUCAGAUUAUAAUGUCCGUCCAAGUCAGUAGUCAAAGAACAAUCUACUUUUUUAUCUCUAUUUUUUCCUUGAAAGAAACUAUAUAAAGUUUAAGAAAAUUUGACAACUAAACUGAAAUUAAGAUUGAUUGAUUAAGAAGCAAAUAAUGACAUUAAAAGUUUAUAUAUAUAUAUAUAGAUUAAUCUUUUAUAUACUGCCUGUGUUGGAUAAAUGACAACUAUGCAAAAUUUAAAUUUUAAAUUCAACAUUUACACAUAUAUCAUAAAUCUAAUUGUGAUAGUGACCAGUAUUUGAAAGGAUGACAACUAUGCAAAAUUUAAAUUUUAAAUUCAACAUUUACACAUAUAUCAUGAAUCUACUUGUGAUAGUGUACAUACUGUCAGUGUAUAUAAGAUUUACUAUAUAUAUAUAUACAAAUUUUUUGAACAACAGAAAACAUAAUGAUAAACCAACUAUACUCAUCUUAAUCCACUUUGUCCAUUAUCACUUGCAUCAAGUGGUCUCUACUUAAUCUACUGUCAAUUAUCAAGUGCUUCAAGUGGUCUCCAUAUACUCAAGAAAAUACCACCUCAACAGCUACACCACGUCAAAUUAUGCAGCCAGACUCCUAUUCUAAACAUAUAUAUAUAUAUAUAUAUAUAUAUGCUCAGUGUGUAGCUAUGUCUUCCUAGUUUUCUUACAAGUAACAGUCAAAAGGAAAAUGAUUUAGUACGUCAUCUUCGACUUCACAAGCAAUAACAUAAACAUCCAGAGUAAGUGUUUAAAAUGAAGCUGCAAAAACUCUGCAGAUCUUUAAAGUUUGAAAAUGGUAUUUACAGGGGGAACAAACUCCCAAAACAAUGCCAAAGUUAAACCCGCAAAUUCACAUUUUCGCAGAACAAAAUGCCUCGCAAGGCAGAAGCUCAAAAUUUCGAAACCUAUAUAGCAACUAGCAAUAGUUGAACGUUUUUUCCAAACGUUUUAACAACAGGCUUCUAUGAUGGUGAGAGUUAUCCGAGGGCUAGUUUUGCAAACCUGCUUAAUUGUAAAUUAUACAAGAUAUGUGUUGUCCCCAAAAGGGGGUCUGCUUCAUUCUUGUUUUGAAAUUUGUGAACACGAGGACUUCCUCUGAUCCAACUUCCGCCUUUUUGCAGUCAGGCGCGGCCUCAACUGAUUUGCAAGAGUACAACUAAUGCAAAUUAUUCUGAAUGUACAAUUAUUUGCAAAGAUUAUAAUAUCAUGUAGGACUAGAUUGAGAAGUUCUAAUAACAUCAACCAAGAUAUGCAAAAUAAAGCUUCAAAAUAGAGAGAAAAAUAAUAAUAAGUCGGCAACAAUCACAUACAGAGCUGGCUGUGGACUAUGGUAAAAUGGGGAGACAUAGAUUAAGACUUGGAAGUAAAUAAAGGACAUUUCACAAAAUGAAAGAACAGGAAGAAGGGAAAGAGAGAAGUCGCCUUAUUGAAGAUUCGGGUGAUUGCUGACAUUUAUAAACCAACAACAAUUCUGAGUUCUGACUAGAUAAAUAAAGAAAAUGUGAUAUGAAAAAAAAAUAAAAUGGCAUACCUUCUCUAUGUACUUCAACUGCCUUAGAACUUGAUCAGUAGGUAUCUCCUGAAACAUAAGUAAAGGAAAAGGCAAUUCAGAAAAGAAUAGAAAAUGAACAGCUUACUGAAUCAUAUGAGAAGGGAGUUAUAGAAGAUUUGAGUACAACAAGCCCCCAGAAACAGCAAUAACAAAAUACAAAAUGAAAAAAAUACUUUGCAUUGUCUAAGGAACAUCAUCAAGAAACAAAGGCCUUUGCCUGUCAUUUAAAGAACUUGAUCUCUGCAAAACCCUUGGCAGCAAAACUAGGCAUGUUUAGAAUCAGUCUGUAAACUACUGCUCACCCUAUUACCCCUCUCUUUCAGCACAAGACGCAUCUUGCAAUGUGGUCCCUUUUCCCCAGUUCCCCAGCUGACUCUCCUUUCCCUUUGCAGAAACAAACCUCUGCUGCUGCAGCACCCCUUAACCCAGAACAUAUCUCAUGAAUGGCUCAAGUUAUGUUUUCUUAGUAAGCAUGCUAAUCAUAGAUAACAUGUUAAGUAAUCUAGAGUACGAAGUUAUAUUCUAAUUUCACCCUGAAAAGUAAGCAAAAGCAACAACACUUUUGUAUCAACACUAUCUUUUGGUCUAUAAGUUGUUGUAUCAGAAAGUUCAAAAAAGUUCACAAUCAUAAAAAAAUCAAAAAGCCAAAUCAGGUAACGCUUGGAUUAGACAUGUCUGGUCCACCAACCAUGUAAGCAAAAUAGAGUAGAUCAAAACAGUCCAACAGUAUUUGUUAGGUAAAAAUCUACCAAAAAAAAAGAGAAUAGAUUGAAGUCCUCCACAUUGGAGGCUAAAGAUCAACAGCCACAUUAGACUAUUUGUGCUAACAAAGAAAUAAACAUUCUUGUAGCAAUCAUAUUAUACAUCUUUUAAACAAAAUUCUCUUUAACCAAUUGCUGUUUCACCUGUUUGGUUUCUAGAUAUGACCAUGUCACCUUUUGCACUAAAAUACAACCUUUGCCUUCAGCAAUGCUUUUCCAACACACAAAAUGUAUUUGCAUUUGCCUACAAUAGCAUCUUUUUCCAUAUCUGAUGUGGAUACAGUGACAGAUUUCCUUAAAUUCAUCCUCUCUCUCUCUCUAGGUUGUUUUAUCUCUUUUGUCUAAGGCACCAUGACAGUCACACCUAAGCUAAUGCAAAGCCUAGUUAUUCAAUAACUAAACUUAGACCAAAGCCUCCAACAUGGAUCAAAUUGAGGAAGAAAAUUGUUCACGAUAACACUGUCUUGUACGUAAUCUCAAAGAUACAUUUAAGAAACGCCUUGAACUUAAAAUAAUUAUAAUAAAAACCUUAGUCAAGAGAUCAUAUAUAAUUUAGUCAAAUUCUCGAGGAAACCAAACAGAAAGCAGAAAAAUACUUUACUCCUCACUAACAAAUUCUUAAGAUGCAAGGCAUUUGCUGCAUUAUCAAAUCCGAGUACACAAGUGGAUUGAAUUUCUAACUCAUAAAAACAAAUAAAUCACUGCAAGAUGCUUGACUGAAAAAUCUAAUACUAGCAAUGAAUCUAAAUAGGAUAGAAGCAGCAAGGUUGCAAAACUUCUGUUGACGACCUAUAAACAACUAUAGUCUGGGAUCCAGAUUUUCAGCAUAAAUUCCUAAUCCUAAUUGUGAUUGUAGGUCUUACUAAUGUAACAAGAUUUACACUUGCCCCUUAAUGUAACAAAGAAACUUAUAUUAGUUAUGUUAAACUACCAAAACAGUGUAGGAUGCAACAAGCAAGUGAAUUUUAAAAACUCGUCAAAUCCACGUAACUCUAUGUUCAAAUAUAACAUUUUAACCUGUAAGCCCCUAAUUACAACUAUAACUCAAAAUCUCUGAGCAUCUUGCAAUCAGAAACAUCUGAAAGGCAUUCAUUAUAAGGACAACUGAACCCUUAACUCCAAACAUUGUAUACAUAAAGUAAACAGGAAAGACCAAAAACACCAUGAUUGAUUAACGUAUCAAAACCAGCUAUAAGGACCAGAACUAGUGAAUGAAUUAAAAACAGGAAACAAAUGGGGUACAAGACUAUGCUGUAAGUUCAACUUACCUGUGGAACAGCACAAUCAGCAUGAGAAGGAUCCCAAAGAACAGCCCGGAAGCAUUCCCAGUCAUCAGUUUGAACUUCAAAAAGCGGGGCCCUAUAAUUUAAAAACCUAGGAUAUUAAGCACCACAGGGGGAAAAUAAUGAAAAAGUCCCACAACAAUCUGCAAAAGGUACAAGAGUUAAAUUCAGGACAAGUAUGAAAGCUAAAAAAGUCAGCAACUGCUAAAAGACCCGAGAAAAAAAUAAAAACAAAAAUAAGAAGAAGAAGAAGUAUUAAUAGCUUGUGGAAACACAAAUAGAUUAAAGCUCAUAGUUGGACUUAAAGAAUUUGAAUCAAAAUGUCAGUGAAAUUGGGACAAAUAGGUGUUGGAGGAAAUUAAAUUAGACCAGAUAAAAACAAGUAUUUACAGUCAUGAACAAAUGAAAGCAGACAGAUAUUCACAGCCAGUACAUAAAGUAAAACUUAGUUGUGGCAAGUACAUAAAUUAGUACAGAUUCAGUUGCUAACUUAAGCGGAGAUCUAGAAUUCAUCCCUGAAAAGUUAAAAAAAAGGGGGGAAACUUCUAUCCUCUAAGCACCAUUCUGAUUGGAAAAAAAAAAAAAAGAAAGAAAGAAAGAAAGAAAAAGAAGAAGAAAGAAGAAGAAGAAGAAGAAGAAGAAGAAGAAGAAAAGGAAAGGAAAAGAUGCCAGUGGAAAAGAAAGGAAACCUAAACAUGCUGUUCUAUAUAUCUAUCUCCCACAAAAUUUUGUACAAUACAUCUGAUGUAGGGCAACAUUAACUAUCUCUGUUGGUAGGUCUUUAUACACAACUACCAUCUUAUUUCAGCUAAUAUGAACAGACCAGCUAAAAUCAUCUUAUUAGCAUCUUGGUUCUAGAAUAACCUCUUAGUGAAAUGUCAAUCUUGAAAUGAUGCAAAUCUGUCUGAAACAUUUUCAGCAGACAUGCAAAUAUAAUGCAAGCUAAUAAGGAAAGAGAUCCAAAAGAAAAGAACUAUGCAAAUAAAACUUUGCAGGUCACAACAGAGAAAUAAGCAUACUAUAUCCUUUAGCUUAAUGAUAAUCCAGGUUAAUGUUAAUCUUUAAAGUAAUGUUAUUAAACCCAAAAAUAGAAAUAAAUAAAUAAUAAAAAUUGACUGUCCUGUAACUGAAAGAAUAGUUUUCAUCGGAGAGAAUCCAAGUUUAAGGUCCUAUUAUUGCAGUUCAAGGUUCUAAACAUUGUUUCAUCAAGGCUGAACAUGUGUCCUAAGAUGUGCAAAUUUAUUCUCAUCUGAUAAAUAACUACUAUAACAAAUAAGGUAUCAACACGAAGCAUCCAAAAUCAACCAUCAGAGCUAUAUUAGUGCAUAAAAGAAAGCAGACCUUCGCCAUUUUCCACAUAUUGUUCCAUCAACAUGUUCUCCAAUACCUUCAAUCACCUGUUGACAUUGUACCCAAUUACCAAUAGAACUAAGCUGAGGUGUCUUGCUGGAGUUCUGAUACAAGUUUAAAAAAAUGAGUUAAUCUGGGAAAUCUGUUCUCAAGAGGACAAGGUUCCAAAAACUGAUUGAAGUCUUACAUGCAAAUAGAGAUACUCAGAUUGAAUCAUCUCCUCUGGUUCACUCGUAGGAUCAACUUCACUGAACCAAAAAGAAUCAUAAAUAAGACCAAGGUAAUACCAACAUGGAGGACAGGCAAAAUAUAAACUCAAUAGCAACAAUCAACUACCUUAAACAAAACGAAUUGAACAGAAGACCUGAAAUAAUACUAAGUGAUGAAAGUUAAUGCCCUUGAAUAGUGUGCAUAACAAACUAAAUUGUGUAAUAGAUACACCAUGUGCCAUCAGAUAAUCAAUGCUGGCCAAAGAAGCAAAAAGGCAAUGCUGGCGAGAGAAGGUGGCAUAAGAUGAUCAGUUCCAAAAGAAACUGUUGCUUCCAGUUAAUGGAAAACUGAAGUCAUUAUUACUUUAACACCAUUUAAGCGCUACCAUGAGCUUCAUGAAGUAUUGCAAGGAUGGUAAAGAAGGACAUAAAUAAUUCGAGACUGGCACAAUUCCCCAGCCUUGCAACAACUUUUUUAUGCUCAUACUUCUGAACCUAAAACCAUAUAAGAAAUGAAAAAUUUUACCACUAAAACUACAGAAGAAAAAGCACAAUCAAGAUUGAAAUCAAAAUGUGGCAUCAACAGAGAAAUGUUCACAAAUCAACAAAUAAACAAUUUGAAAAUAGCAGAAUUAAAAUGCAGAUACAAGAAAAAGGAGUAUAAUACUCAGCCUUAAGAUGGUUGGCACCAUAUCACAAUCACAUAGAAUCUAUGACAGAAGAAAAUGGAGAAGUACAUGAACUAAUCCAAAACAAGAAGAAAAUGUGCUCAGACUAAGAAUUUCAAGCUCAUCAAAGUAAACCAGAAAAUGACAGAUUUGUACUUGAUUUGAAGCCAUUUCAGUAACAACCAAAAUACUCCAUAGACAAUCGUUUAUUUUAACCAUCCCAUAGUCAUUGUGAUCAAACUAACCAACCAUCCCAUAGUCAUGGUGAUUAAAAUGCAUAUUCCAUUUCCUAUGUUUUGUUUCCAAGAAUGAAUAGUUGAGUCAUAAAGCAAUCAUGAAGAUGGUUACAAGUUUAGUUCAACUUGAGAUUCCUUCUCUGCCAGCAAAUUCUUAAUGGAGGUCUCCUACACGAAAGAACAUUAUGAAGAAUAUCUAUUUGGCUCUGUUACCCUUGUUUUAUAUAUGGUGAAAAUACAAGCACAAUAUUUAACAAUCAGUAUUGCUGAAAAAUCACAAGAUCAUAAAACAGAAACUCCAAGUACUUUGUAAAACUUAUGACCAGACCCAGACAUGACCAUGCAAGAGAUAUAUUCUCAAGACUGAUUAAGUUAUCCACUUAUGUACAUAUAGUACCAAAAUAAUAAGAGAUAU